RNAcentral lists this ribosomal RNA (463 nucleotides) under uncultured bacterium. RNAcentral describes it as "partial 16S ribosomal RNA". It matches the Rfam family "Bacterial small subunit ribosomal RNA", at positions 28 to 507 of the family's 1533-position model. The record is from RNAcentral.
GACGAACGCUGGCGGCGUGCUUAACACAUGCAAGUCGAACGGUGAACCUCUUCGGAGGGGAUCAGUGGCGAACGGGUGAGUAACACGUGGGCAACCUGCCCCCGGCUCUGGGAUAACUCCAAGAAAUUGGGGCUAAUACCGGAUGUUCACCGCUUCCCGCCUGGGUGGUGGUGGAAAGGGUUUCCGGCUGGGGAUGGGCCCGCGGCCUAUCAGCUUGUUGGUGGGAUAGUGGCAUACCAAGGCGACGACGGGUAGGCGGCCUGAGAGGGUGACCGGCCACACGGGGACUGAGAGACGGCCCAGACUCCUACGGGAGGCAGCAGUGGGGAAUAUUGCGCAAUGGGCGGAAGCCGGAGGCAGCGACGCCGCGUGGGGGAUGACGGCCUUCGGGUUGUAAACCGCUGUCAGCAGGGACGAAGCGCAAGUGACGGUACCUGCAGAAGAAGCACCGGCCAACUACGUG